Molecule: ribosomal RNA, 422 nt
Filed under: uncultured bacterium
Lineage: Bacteria
Description: partial 16S ribosomal RNA
Rfam family: Bacterial small subunit ribosomal RNA
Source: RNAcentral
GAAUUUUGGACAAUGGGCGAACGCCUGAUCCAGCAAUGCCGCGUGCAGGAUGAAGGCCUUCGGGUUGUAAACUGCUUUUGUACGGAACGAAAAGCUUUGGGGUAAUACCCUGGAGUCAUGACGGUACCGUAAGAAUAAGCACCGGCCAACCCCGUGCCAGCAGCCGCGGUAAGACGGAGGGUGCAAGCGUUAAUCGGAAUGACUGGGCGUAGAGCGUGCGCAGGCGGUUGUGUAAGACAGAGGUGAAAUCCCCGGGCUCAACCUGGGAACUGCCUUUGUGACUGCAAGGCUAGAGGACGGCAGAGGGGGGUGGAAUUCCGCGUGUAGCAGUGAAAUGCGUAGAUAUGCGGAGGAACACCGAUGGCGAAGGCAACCCCCUGGGCCUGUACUGACGCUCAUGCACGAAAGCGUGGGGAGCAAAC